GACGAACGCUGGCGGCGUGCUUAACACAUGCAAGUCGAGCGGUAAGGCUCCUUCGGGAGUACACGAGCGGCGAACGGGUGAGUAACACGUGAGUAAUCUGCCCUUCACUUCGGGAUAACCACCGGAAACGGUGGCUAAUACCGAAUACGACCAGUCUUCGCAUGAGGUGCUGGUGGAAAGUCUUUUCGGUGAAGGAUGUGCUCGCGGCCUAUCAGCUUGUUGGUGGGGUAAUGGCCUACCAAGGCCUCGACGGGUAGCCGGCCUGAGAGGGUGACCGGCCACACUGCGACUGAGACACGGCCCAGACUCCUACGGGAGGCAGCAGUGGGGAAUAUUGGACAAUGGGCGAAAGCCUGAUCCAGCAACGCCGCGUGAGGGAUGACGGCCUUCGGGUUGUAAACCUCUUUCAGUACCGACGAAGCGCCCUGUCGGGUGGUGACGGUAGGUACAGAAGAAGGACCGGCCAACUACGUG
RNAcentral lists this ribosomal RNA (474 nucleotides) under uncultured bacterium. RNAcentral's name for it is "partial 16S ribosomal RNA". It matches the Rfam family "Bacterial small subunit ribosomal RNA", at positions 28 to 507 of the family's 1533-position model. The record is from RNAcentral.